This 589-nucleotide ribosomal RNA is filed under the name Chaetomium globosum. RNAcentral's name for it is "eukaryotic LSU rRNA". It matches the Rfam family "Eukaryotic large subunit ribosomal RNA", at positions 37 to 652 of the family's 3401-position model. The record is from RNAcentral. Lineage: Eukaryota; Fungi; Ascomycota; Sordariomycetes; Sordariales; Chaetomiaceae.
AGCAUAUCAAUAAGCGGAGGAAAAGAAACCAACAGGGAUUGCCCUAGUAACGGCGAGUGAAGCGGCAACAGCUCAAAUUUGAAAUCUGGCUUCGGCCCGAGUUGUAAUUUGCAGAGGAAGCUUUAGGCGCGGCACCUUCUGAGUCCCCUGGAACGGGGCGCCAUAGAGGGUGAGAGCCCCGUAUAGUUGGAUGCCUAGCCUGUGUAAAGCUCCUUCGACGAGUCGAGUAGUUUGGGAAUGCUGCUCAAAAUGGGAGGUAAAUUUCUUCUAAAGCUAAAUACCGGCCAGAGACCGAUAGCGCACAAGUAGAGUGAUCGAAAGAUGAAAAGCACUUUGAAAAGAGGGUUAAAUAGCACGUGAAAUUGUUGAAAGGGAAGCGCUUGUGACCAGACUUGCGCCGGGCGGAUCAUCCGGUGUUCUCACCGGUGCACUCCGCCCGGCUCAGGCCAGCAUCGGUUCUCGCGGGGGGAUAAAGGUCUCGGGAACGUAGCUCCUCCGGGAGUGUUAUAGCCCGGGGCGUAAUGCCCUCGCGGGGACCGAGGUUCGCGCAUCUGCAAGGAUGCUGGCGUAAUGGUCAUCAGCGACCCGU